RNAcentral lists this ribosomal RNA (229 nucleotides) under uncultured bacterium. RNAcentral's name for it is "partial 16S ribosomal RNA". It matches the Rfam family "Bacterial small subunit ribosomal RNA", at positions 568 to 796 of the family's 1533-position model. The record is from RNAcentral.
UACGUAGGCGGAAAAUUAAGUCAGUAGUGAAAUCCUGCAGCUUAACUGUAGAACUGUUGUUGAUACUGGUUUUCUUGAAUAUAGUUGAGGUAGGCGGAAUGUGUAAUGUAGCGGUGAAAUGCUUAGAUAUUACACAGAACACCGAUUGCGAAGGCAGCUUACUAAGCUAUGAUUGACGCUGAGGUACGAAAGCGUGGGGAGCGAACAGGAUUAGAUACCCUGGUAGUCC